UCGUGUUUGUGCGACAGUGCAGAACAUAAACAAAGCCUGAUGGCUGUGCAGCUAGUGGCAGCAAAGCAGGAUCCAAAACAACAGCAGCAAAUAAGAGCUAGCGCUCGGCUCAGGCUCUGAUGUUCAAGUCUGCAUUGGCACAGCAACACCAAAACGCAGCGCAGCCGCGUAAAUCCCAAACGCUGGAAGCCAAUCAUGGGGCGCAGGAGACAAGCGCUGACGGAUGGCGCUUUGAGGAUCAGCUUUUCCUCGUCGCUCCUUUGUUGGCGACGGAUUCCUCCCGAGCUGAAAUUCUUCCAGCGAUCAGGAUUUGCACAAGGAACCGGUCAAAUCUCAACUUGUUCCGCUGGCUUUGCAGACUCCAAAGAUAACAAGCAGAGGCCCAACCCUGAGCCUCGCCGAUGUUUUCCUGACAUAAUGAAUUUUGGAUGAAGCAAAGGCUGGGCGAACAGCUCAGAAGAAACCGACUGAAGCCGCCUCAAAGAGUUGUCGCUUAUGAGGUCCUGGAUGUUCCAUAAAAACCGUUACACUGGAAAUGAAUGGGAAAUUAAUGGGACUUCUUUUGGGCCCCCUUUAAUACGGGCUAAUAAAACGUGAUCCGGGAAACAGCGAAA
Poeciliopsis prolifica (blackstripe livebearer) is the source of this 614-nucleotide long non-coding RNA. RefSeq lists it as uncharacterized. The transcript is spliced from 2 exons. Lineage: Eukaryota; Metazoa; Chordata; Actinopteri; Cyprinodontiformes; Poeciliidae. The record is from RefSeq and is a predicted model, not a curated record.